Non-coding RNA from Rhopilema esculentum, 460 nucleotides. The record is from RefSeq and is a predicted model, not a curated record. Lineage: Eukaryota; Metazoa; Cnidaria; Scyphozoa; Rhizostomeae; Rhizostomatidae.
AGUCUCAACAGGACAAAACCAUGAUGAAUUGUCGCGAAGAUCAUUUUCCAGCCAGCUGCAUUUUAGAGCACACGGUUGGAAAGAAAGGUUUGGAAAAAGAAGUCGACAUGUUUCUCACAAUGGACCCUUGAUUUUGGACGCAGUUUUCACUGACAGUGUCGAGAACACGAUUUGAAUACAUUUCCUAAAUUGAAUAUUCAUCAGGACAUUCCCGUGGCAGAUUGACCAAAGUAUUGUAAAAGAUAUUCUCAUCCAGCUUCAUCACACGGACAUUCCCGUGGCAGAUUGACCAAAGUAUUGUAAACAUAUUCUCACCCAGCUUCAUCACACGGGCAUUUGCGAGACGUUUUGACACCACGAUUUGAAUGAAAGACAUUUCUUCUUUGGCCUUUGUUUCGUUAUAAUUUGAUUGAUUUAGAGGAUCUUUGUAUGUUUAUUGUAAAGUUGAAGGAUAAUUCAA